This 497-nucleotide ribosomal RNA is filed under the name uncultured bacterium. Its description in RNAcentral is "partial 16S ribosomal RNA". It matches the Rfam family "Bacterial small subunit ribosomal RNA", at positions 28 to 507 of the family's 1533-position model. The record is from RNAcentral.
GACGAACGCUGGCGGCGUGCCUAAUACAUGCCAGUAGAACGCUGAAGCGAGGAGCUUACUCUUCUUGGAUGAGUUGCGAACGGGUGAGUAACGCGUAGGUAACCUGCCUUGUAGCGGGGGAUAACUAUUGGAAACGAUAGCUAAUACCGCAUAACAAUGGAUGACACAUGUCAUUUAUUUGAAAGGGGCAAUUGCUCCACUACAAGAUGGACCUGCGUUGUAUUAGCUAGUAGGUGAGGUAAUGGCUCACCUAGGCGGCGAUACAUAGCCGAACUGAGAGGGUGAGCGGCCACACUGGGAGUGAGACACGGCCCAGACGCCUACGGGAGGCAGCAGUAGGGAAACUUCGGGCAUGAGGGCAAAACUGACCGCGAAACGCCGCGUGAGGGAAGAAGGUUGUCGGAUCGGAAAGCACGGUUGUAAGUCAAGAACGGGUGUGAGAGUGGAAAGUUCACAGUGUGACGGUAGCUUAUCAGAAAGGGACGGCUAACUACGUG